ACGUUAGCAACAGAAGAAGCACCGGCUAACUCCGUGCCAGCAGCCGCGGUAAUACGGAGGGUGCGAGCGUUAAUCGGAAUUACUGGGCGUAAAGCGCAUGCAGGUGGUUUGUUAAGUCAGAUGUGAAAGCCCGGGGCUCAACCUCGGAACUGCAUUUGAAACUGGCAGACUAGAGUACUGUAGAGGGGGGUAGAAUUUCAGGUGUAGCGGUGAAAUGCGUAGAGAUCUGAAGGAAUACCGGUGGCGAAGGCGGCCCCCUGGACAGAUACUGACACUCAGAUGCGAAAGCGUGGGGAGCAAACAGGAUUAGAUACCCUGGUAGUCCACGCUGUAAACGAUGUCUACUUGGAGGUUGUGGCCUUGAGCCGUGGCUUUCGGAGCUAACGCGUUAAGUAGACCGCCUGGGGAGUACGGUCGCAAGAUUAAAACUCAAAUGAAUUGACGGGGGCCCGCACAAGCGGUGGAGCAUGUGGUUUAAUUCGAUGCAACGCGAAGAACCUUAC
This 503-nucleotide ribosomal RNA is filed under the name Vibrio vulnificus. RNAcentral describes it as "bacterial SSU rRNA". It matches the Rfam family "Bacterial small subunit ribosomal RNA", at positions 472 to 974 of the family's 1533-position model. The record is from RNAcentral. Lineage: Bacteria; Pseudomonadati; Pseudomonadota; Gammaproteobacteria; Vibrionales; Vibrionaceae.